GAUCAUGGCUCAGGACGAACGCUGGCGGCGUGCUUAACACAUGCAAGUCGAACGAGAAUCUGUGGAAAGAGGAUUCGUCCAAUUGAAGCAGAGGACAGUGGCGGACGGGUGAGUAACGCGUGAGGAACCUGCCUUUCGGAGGGGGACAACAGUUGGAAACGACUGCUAAUACCGCAUAACAUAUAGACGUCGCAUGGCAUUUAUAUCAAAGAUUUAUCGCUGAAAGAUGG
Molecule: ribosomal RNA, 230 nt
Filed under: uncultured bacterium
Lineage: Bacteria
Description: partial 16S ribosomal RNA
Rfam family: Bacterial small subunit ribosomal RNA
Source: RNAcentral